GCUGAUAAUGUUGUGAGCAAAGGAAUUGAUGAACUUAAUGUAAAGUACAUCCUUCCAAUAUUGGACUUAGUGAUCAUCCAACAGCCUUCCAAUAGUUUAUUUAGUUCUGUGGGUGAUGUACCCAACAGUGGAACUGUUGGUGUGGAAAUUGCUGUCAACAAAUGUGUACAAAACGAUAGUGCAGAAAACAACAAAAUACCAACAGUAAAUUCAUUAACUGGUUUGCAGACUGUCCUAACUAUCACAGAUACGAAUACAAAUAUUGGGCAUAAUCAUUUAGCAAAAGAUUUUGAUAUUUGUCACGAAUUCCCUCUCAAUUAUAAAACCCAUCCAGCUGCUGAAAGUAUCAAAGCUACAGAAAGCCACCGAUCUGAAGAAAGAUGUCUAGUGUUGUCACAAGAUGGAGUAACUGAACAACAGUCUGUUACUAAUUUGGACAAUGACAGAGACAAGCCAUUGGAACAUUUAUUCGACAAUAGUGAAAUGGAAAUAAAUGAGAAUUUUCAGAAAGACAAGCCUGAAAUCGACAAUGUUGUUUCACCAGUUAGCCAUCACCACUCUGCUACAAGCAUUACUGAUAUAACAAAUAAUACUUUACAGCACGGUACAAGAGUAACUGACAUCUACCAUCAUAAGAGACCAUAUAACAGAUUCAAAUUAAACCUUUUUCAAAGAACAAAGAGUGUUUCCUCAUUACCUGAAAUGACGGGGCAAUGGCAAACUGAUAAUACCUCACUCUUCAGCAACCAAGAAAAACUGAAGACUCUCCCUCCAAUCAGACAUAACAGCAAUCUGUUGCUGAGUGAUGAAAAUAUAGAAAAAUACCAAGCAAUUUCAUCAAGGGAUGAAGUGAGUGAACAGUAUACCCUUACAAAUACAGCACAUGACAGCAAGGACACAUCCCAGAAAUGCCCAGCAAAUAUUGAUGACAGAAGGUCUAGUAAUGAUUGUGAUCCAUCAGAUGGAUGUGAGAUUAACUGUACACCAGUAGGUGAUGUACUCAUCAAUGGAGCUGUUGGUGCAGAAAUUGCAGUCAACAAAUGUGUACAAAAUGAUACUGCAGAAACCAACAAAAUAACAGUAGAUUCACUAACUGACUUACAGACUAUCCAAACUAUCAACGUUAUAUAUAGAAAACCUGGACAUGAUUAUUUCGCAAAAGAUUUUGAUAUCUGUCCUGAAUUUCCACUCAAUUAUAGCAUCAGUCAGGCUGUAGAAUGUGUCAAUACUACAGAAGGCCACCGAUCUGAAGAAAUAUGUCCGGUUUUGUCUCAAAAUGGAGUAACUGAACAACAGUCUGUUACUAAUUUGGACAGGCCAUUGGAACAUUUAUUGAACAGUACUGAAAUGGAAAUAAAUGAGAAUUUUCAGAAAGACGAGCCUAAAAUCAACAAUGUUGUUUCACCAGUUAUACUUCACCACUCUGCUGCAAGUGUUAUUGAUAUCACAAAGAAUACUUCACAGCACGGUACAACAAAGGUAACAGACAUCUACCAUCGUAGGAGACCAUCAAACAGAUUCAAAUUAGACUUUUUACAGAGAGCAAAGAGUGUUCCUUCAUCACCUGAAAUGACCGAGCAAUGGCAAAGUGAUAAUAUCUUAUUCUUUAGCUACCAAGAAAAACUGAAGUCUCCCCCUCAGCUCAGCCAUAACAUUAAUCUGUUGCAGAGCGAUGGAAAUGUAGAAAAAUGGCAAGCAGUUUCGUCAAAGGAUGAAGUGAAUGAACAGUAUACCCUUACAAAUACUGCACAUGACAGCAAGGACACAUCCCAGAAAUGCCCUGUUGACGGUAUAACUGUCAACAGAUGGUCUAGUAAUGAUUGUGAUCCACCAGAUGGAUGUGAGAUUAAGCGUACACCUUCACCACUGAAUCCAGAUCCAGGACAGUUGCUUCAUGUAGACACUUCACUCAAUAAUCAACACAUGCCAACAGGUCAAGUCUUAAACACUGCUGAUGAUGCUGGAUUCUCGAAACGUCCUGACAAUCAAAAAAUUAAAAGAGCAGAUUUAUCAGGAACUCUGGAAAUAUCUCCUACAAGUACAGCACAUAGCAACAAGAACAAAUCAUUGUAUCAGUCAUCCAAUAUUGCUGACACUGUUUUGAGCAAAAGAAUUGAUGAAUUUAAUGCAACCCACAUUCUUCCAAUGCUGCGUCCAGUGAUCAGCCAAAAGCCUUCCAAUAGUUCAUUUAAGAUGCUAAGUGAUUUGCUCAACAAUGGAACUGUUGGUGCAAAAAUUGAGACAGCCAAAAUAUCAACAGUAGAUUCACUAACUGGCUUUCAGACUGUCCUAACUAUGACAGAUAUACACGAAAAUCUUGGGCAAGAUUAUUUAACAAGAGAUUUUGAUAUCUUUCAUGAUGAACUAACCAAUGAGAAGUCAAAUAUUAAACGUUUACAUAAAACAAAUGAUGCACUACCAUCACCUAAGGCUCAGUACAUUACCACUAAUAUAAGCAAGAAUCAAGACAAGCAAGCAUGUCAUUCCGCAUGGAGUGAUGGCAUUCUAAUGGGCAGAUCGAACAAAUCAAAUGCCAAAGAUUGUUAUUUAUUGCCGACUAGCCAACAGGCUCCAUCUGGUAUAAUUAAAAAUAAGCAAUCUUUGAUUCAUUCGGCAUUGAGAAGCGACUUUGAAAUGAACGUAGCAGAUGUCAAGAAUGUAACAAAUGGUCAAUUGCAAAACAGAGACGCCUUAUUGCAGUCACCAACUGGGCUAAAGUAUUCUUCAGACACUACAUGUCGCAACAAUAUUCAAUUUCAGAAUUCCUCUCCAAAGAAGGAUAUGUGUUCGAGGAAAAGCAUUGGCAUUAAAUCAACAAAUGACACUAACCUUGCAUUACCAGAUCUUCUGACUGAGCAAGAAUCUCCCGAUGAUCUCACUUACAACAAGAGCAAUAAAUAUUUGAAUGAGCCAAUGGAAGAUAGAGAUGCCACUUUGGAUCGAAGGUGGAAGGAUAUUUGUGCAAAAACAGAGAAGUAUUUAAUCAGUAGCGGUUCUACACCACCUGAUUCACCACCUGGUCAGUCUCCACAAAAUAAAUACAUCCGCAAGAAUUAUUCAACAGAUAGUUGUGACAUUUCUCCACAGGACAUUGACGUGGUAAAAGAAAAUAAAAAAGUAUUCAGAUACAGGCGAAAAUCAUUCCCGGGACGAAUGUUGGAGUAUGGGAGAUCAGGAACAUGCACAACUAAUAUACAUACAUUUAACUCCUUACAGCACUGUUAUCUAAAAAAACAAAUUGGUUCAGAAUUCAUAGAGAUUAAUGACUUACAUAACAGAUUAAAUACCAAUAGUGAUUUCUCUCAACACAGGGUAAAUUCAAUUAGUACUGACAAAGAUGAUAAUUCCUCUGUAAACAAUAAUGACCAGACAGGAGCAGCCAGAUUCUCAAAUUAUUCCAGGUUUAAAAGCUCCCAGAUAUCCCAAUCUCACAAUGUACAAAACAGAUAUGGCCAUCUCUUUAGGCCAACAUGUCUGAAAGAUAUUAAUUCACAUUGCAAUCUACUUUCUCAACCAGAUCAGGAAAAUGUAUUAUCCACCAACAUCAGGCAUGAACCUAAACUAACUACUCAAAAGAGACAAGCUGUGCCCUUCCCUUCCUUUUUAAGUUAUACAAAACGUAGCAGACUUUAUGGAUCUUAUCCUGAUCUGUCCUUUUGUAACAGGAAUGAAUUUAAUUAUAACAUCUGUUCUUCGUACCAUGAUAGGCAAGACAAUGACGAAUUAAUAAAUAGAAAUGAAGACAAAAGCAAUAUUUCUAAAAAGGAAGCAGUAAAAAAGGAUACAUACCUGGAGAACAAGAAACAUGGGAGAGAGUGUAAACCUGAAUUUCACAAGAAAGCUGCUUCUCGAAGCAUUGAGGAUGUUUUUGAUCCAUUCCCCAGUGAAGUAACACAGGAUCUAGGGAUGGAUGAUGAGACCGUGACGAACAAUGAGUAUUUUCCAGUGGAUAUAAAAAUGUUCUGGCCGAAGGAAAACCCCACAGAUAUAAUAAGACUGCUCAGUUCAACGUCCACUGGGAGUAAAAUGUCAGAGGAGAGUCUCUCCCCACAGUCACAUCGUGUACCAGCUGAAAUUUGGAAACCAAACCUGUCCUGUUAUUCAGAAACAGACUCAGACACCACGACUGAUGAUGAGUAUUUCUUGGAUUGUAAUGAAACUGCAAAAGAAUCUGCAUUAUAAUACCCUUCACCACACAUAAGACUGAAUGGAGAAGUGUUUUACUGAUUUGAAACAAAUCAUGGUGUAUGGCCACCUAAUGCUUUGAUGACCAUGGACAUCUUACUAUGUGAUUUUAUGCUGUUAGAUUUGACUGAAAUGCUAAGUAACAUUGCUAUUACCUACUCUCCAUAAGUAUUUUCAAAACUUAUAACAUAGCCACUUGUUUUGGCAUACUUCCAAAAAAAGGCAGACAAAAAUAUUGGAGAAACUCAGCGGAUGUGGCAGCAUCUAUGGAGCGAAGGAAAUAGGCGACAUUUUGGGUCGAGACCCUUCUCCAGGCAAUCACUUGUACUGUUACAAACAUUUGAAAUUCACUUACACAUAUUUGGAUGAAUUUAUAUUUAAGCCAGUAAUUGCCUGCUAUCUUAAGGACUGCUUGGGAGGUGUUCUUUCAUCAGGUUUCUGAUGCAGGAUCACAUCUGAAAAUUUUACAUAGAUUUCCCUCUUGUACAUACAGUUCUGUUAUGCAGUUCCAGUCCUUUAUGUUUUCAUUUGAGUUUUCUAAUUUUAUUGUUGGAAGCUCGUCCUUCAUACAUUAAAUUUUGUGAGCAAUUGUUGAGUUCAAAAGAUAGGCGCAAAAUGCUGGAGUAACUCAGUGGGUCAGGCAGCAUCUGUGGAGGCAAAAGGAUGUUUCAUCUGAUGUAUGUGAUUUGACCCAGAAAUAUUUGCCAGCAUAAUCUAACCUAGGUUAAGUUACUUUACAGUUAAAUUUACCCAUGAAAGCUCAGCACUAAUAGACACAUAUAAGAUUAUAAUGUAUUUACUCCCCUAUCGGUUUCUUAAUCAUUUGUUGCAUGAUUAUCUGAAACCCUCCCCAUCCCAAGGCUUAAACCCCUG
RNA transcript from Amblyraja radiata (thorny skate), 5058 nucleotides. RefSeq lists it as uncharacterized. The record is from RefSeq and is a predicted model, not a curated record. NCBI's taxonomy places the organism in Eukaryota, Metazoa, Chordata, Chondrichthyes, Rajiformes, Rajidae. The transcript is spliced from 2 exons.